GUUUAUUUCAAGCGAAGCUGCAGUAUGCCAAGACUACAUAAUGCAUGAUCCAAAGGAAAAGGAUUACCUAUAUAAGGACGAGAAAGAUGCACAACGAGGCUUCUUCUCAUGACCUCACCGCUGCUCUGGGAAACUACGCAGCUUGGAACGCUAACAGCAUGGAUGCCUGCCGCUUUUCAUUUUUGGACCGGCUGGAACUUUCGCUAACUUGGAAUACCCGCUGGGACGAACAUUUGCUUGUUUGGGAACACUCAUUCAACAUUGGUGACUAUUCACCGUUGUGCCUCAACUCCUCUGUUCUUGAACGCCUAUUUUGUGUUACCUAUUUAUCGUGUUUGUGUUGUGUUGAUGUGUGUGUGAGAUUAAAUUGUCGGAAACACAAUAAAACUGCCUUGUCGCAUUUUGCUGGUUUGAACAAAGGGGACGUUAGUCUAAAUUCAUACAUAACAAUUUUCUCAGCAUGCUUGAACGAGGUCUCAGGCGUAAACGUGUAGGCGUGUGUGUGUACCUCUGUGUCACAUGACUCUUCAUCUGUGCACUCAUAGCUAAAACCAAGCAAACCAUUCACAUAGCUAACAGGAACAUAAAACAUCUCAAGGGAGGAUAUAGAACAGCUUCAUUGUGGUCACAUGACUCCUUUUCGUAUGCAUUUGACUGACAAUUAUUACAUUACAAGUUCCACAACAGCCUAGCCCUGCUCUGCGCUGGCCUUGCUUGGCUUGGCCUGCCCGUGUUUUUCGUCAGACCUUCAAUCAGUAUACAUGCAAUUUAUUUUUCAAAACAGUCUUGCUGUCCAUAUAAACAAACAGUUUUGGUUUUUUUUAACUUCAAAGAGGAAAUAAACAUUUACAUUUGCAUGCACUUUACCUUUUUAGCUAUACUAUACUAUCAUAAUGCUUACUAUUGCACUCCAUAUCCACAAAUAAGUUAAGUGUAUUUUCAUUUUCAGAUAGUUUAUUGCUUUAAAAAAUGUGUUAUGACAUUGUCUUUUUUACAUGGCAUAAAAAAAUAAACCACUAUUUGUGCUUAAGUUA
Molecule: long non-coding RNA, 1034 nt
Organism: Syngnathoides biaculeatus (alligator pipefish)
Lineage: Eukaryota; Metazoa; Chordata; Actinopteri; Syngnathiformes; Syngnathidae
Exons: 2
Source: RefSeq, a predicted model, not a curated record